This is a long non-coding RNA of Peromyscus californicus insignis, 1984 nucleotides long. RefSeq lists it as uncharacterized. The record is from RefSeq and is a predicted model, not a curated record. NCBI's taxonomy places the organism in Eukaryota, Metazoa, Chordata, Mammalia, Rodentia, Cricetidae. The transcript is spliced from 5 exons.
CAGUGGAAACCCCCGAGACUGAAGAGGCUAUAGAGCAAAGUUGAGGCUUUGCAUCAUAAAGAGAGCCCCAAAGAGGCUAUUGGUGGAAGUGCAGCCCAGGUGGAGGAAGAGACGCCAGCAUUUUGGAGAUGGCAGUACUAUGAGGUGACUUCUGAGAACAGCAGCAGCAGUAGAGUGGAGCUGGUCUGAGUCUAUAAGACAAGCUGUGUGUGCUGCUGAGGGUGGAGCCUGAGAAGUGACCCAGGCCCCGUGGAGGAGCCCAGCAGAUCAAGCUCCCGAGUCAGGCUUCCACUUCCAGAGAGACAGGCCAACCUGUUCAGUUUUCCUAUUAGCAGUCACACUGGAGAAGCAAUCUGGGCUGCAGCCACCCAUGAGAACUCGGAAACCUCGGCCACAUCUGAGCUUGUGACAUUUGAGUGACGACCUCCUUGGCAGUUCGUACCCAAGAAGAGAAAGAACGUGCAACAAUAACCUCAGCGGAAAUCCCAGUUCCACUGGUGAGCUACUGAAUACUUAUUGAUUAAGAGAGCUCAUGACAACCAAGUCUUCAUCUUCCUGUAAAAGUUGAAGCUGUUAUCAGCAACAAGAAAAGAGUAAAAGACAGGAGGCUCCAUGGGAAGUAUGCCGGUGUUUUUCACUUCAGGGAUUUACUUCUUCAUCACUAUGCAGAAAUACACUGAGAGGAAAAACUAACAAAUGUGGAUAAAGCAGAGCAUUGUCAGUUCCUCUGGGGUAAUGACAGUGUUCGCUCCUGUCUGUAGUCCUGUGGUUAACUUUGCUGAUGAAUUCCCAGGUCAUCUGAUGUUCAAAGUCCCAUCAUGUCCUUCAGCUUCUGCUUGAUCUGGUUGAGGCAAGAUCACGUGUCUGUAAUCCUAGUGUUGCUACAGAGACAGAAGAGUCCCCAGAAUUCUCAUGGGCCACAUAGCCUGGGUAUGCAGCGGCAAACAAGGAGCCUACAUCAACCAAAGUAGAAGUCAAUGGCCAGACACUGUCCCCUGACCUAUACAUGUGUGCUAUGGGAGUGCUCACACACACACACACACACACACACACACACACACACACACACACACACAGUUUCAGAGCCUCCAUUCCUACCUUGAUUUUAAAUGACUUGUUCCUUCAUCAGAAUUACCUAGGACGAUGGGGUGAUGCCCAGGUGUCAAAUUGUAACCAUCAUCCUAGGUGAUUCUGAUGCCAGCAAUGGGGGGCUGUAUUCUUAGGGUUGCUGGCUUGACUUUGGUCUCAGCGAUCUUUCCUAGUCAUUUAUUUCAAGGUCCCCAUUUCUUUCUAUCAGACACAGAGAGUUCAUAGAAGCCAGUGUAGACAAGUUAAACUACAUUAGACAUAGUUCCCACUAAGGAAGAGAGGGAUCCUCGCUUGUCCUUUCUCAGUUUUAUUCUCCUAGACCAUGACCCAAAAGAAUAGAGAUGAAAUAAUCUAUAAUAUGCAAGCAAAAAGAUCUUUUCUUUUAGUUUUGAAUGCACAUUCUUAUUAAAUUGUUGUUAAUUCAUACAUGUUGUAUAUUUCAUAUACAUGAAAGUUAUAAUAAUUUUUAUUAUGUGAUGAAUUAACACCAUUGAUAUAGCCUAUAGUAAAAUGUUGUUUGUAGGUAAGUGUUUUAAAACAUUACAUUUUCUUAUGUGACAGCGUGUUAAUUCCAACAGCAUGAUGAGUUGCAUUCAUCUGUUAUGUUAGUCUUUAACUUUAUAUGCAGGAUUAUGUAACAUGUAAAAAUAAACAAUUUAAUGUACUAUAUACAUUCUUCUGUAGGUUCUAAAGGAUAAACAUUUGAAAAAUAUUCAUGUUUUACAAUGCAACAUUAAUUUGUACCCCACCUUCUGUUUUCUAUUUAUGUCUAUCUAUUUCAGUUAGUUCCCACUGAUUAUUUAGGUGAUGACUUUUUUUGACUAUUAAAAUUUUGCUGAAUUGUAUCUAUACAUAUUCUGGAGUUUCUUAGGUUCUAGAACCCAGCUCUGGCAUU